UAUAUUUUUAUUUCUUUUCCUUUUAAUAGUUCGUCAUCUAAAGCAACCAUUAAUCACCUCAAUAUAUUUUAUUCCCUUCCUUAUAUAUUCUCAAUUUGAAUUUUAAAUUUCAAAAUUUUUUUAUCCCAACAAUCACUAGCUCAUUUGAAUGGAUUCAGCAAUUAAGUUUAUUAAAUAUUCCAUAUGAAUAUAUUAGUUGGUUUUAUAUGGAUUGGUUUUUCAUGAUAUAAGAUGACUUUAGUAAGUGAAUGUUACAGAUAAUGGUUACGAUUUUUAGUUAGAAUU
Molecule: long non-coding RNA, 285 nt
Filed under: Ananas comosus (pineapple)
Lineage: Eukaryota; Viridiplantae; Streptophyta; Magnoliopsida; Poales; Bromeliaceae
Description: long non-coding RNA (ACOM_LNC005961)
Source: RNAcentral